RNAcentral lists this transfer RNA (77 nucleotides) under Actinomycetota bacterium. RNAcentral's name for it is "Actinobacteria bacterium (hydrothermal vent metagenome) tRNA-Met". It matches the Rfam family "tRNA". Rfam says of the family: Transfer RNA (tRNA) molecules are approximately 80 nucleotides in length. Lineage: Bacteria; Bacillati; Actinomycetota. The record is from RNAcentral.
GGCGGAGUAGCUCAGUCGGUGAGAGCGCUCGACUCAUAAUCGAGAGGUCGGCGGUUCGAGUCCGCCCUCCGCUACGA